CCUACGGGAGGUUGCAGUGAGGAAUAUUGGUCAAUGGACGAGAGUCUGAACCAGCCAAGUAGCGUGAAGGAUGACUGCCCUAUGGGUUGUAAACUUCUUUUAUAUGGGAAUAAAAUGUUCCACGUGUGGGAUUUUGUAUGUACCAUAUGAAUAAGGAUCGGCUAACUCCGUGCCAGCAGCCGCGGUAAUACGGAGGAUCCGAGCGUUAUCCGGAUUUAUUGGGUUUAAAGGGAGCGUAGGUGGAUUGUUAAGUCAGUUGUGAAAGUUUGCGGCUCAACCGUAAAAUUGCAGUUGAAACUGGCAGUCUUGAGUACAGUAGAGGUGGGCGGAAUUCGUGGUGUAGCGGUGAAAUGCUUAGAUAUCACGAAGAACUCCGAUUGCGAAGGCAGUUCACUGGACUGCAACUGACACUGAGGCUCGAAAGUGUGGGUAUCAAACAGGAUUAGAUACCCUAGUAGUC
This 460-nucleotide ribosomal RNA is filed under the name uncultured bacterium. Its description in RNAcentral is "partial 16S ribosomal RNA". It matches the Rfam family "Bacterial small subunit ribosomal RNA", at positions 338 to 795 of the family's 1533-position model. The record is from RNAcentral.